UGCCAAUGAUGCAUAAUAUGCACGUAUUAUCGGAUUUAUAAUGACGAUUUCGUAUGUUGUCACUACCACUGAGGCA
RNAcentral lists this small nucleolar RNA (76 nucleotides) under Ananas comosus (pineapple). RNAcentral describes it as "Small nucleolar RNA snoR122". It matches the Rfam family "Small nucleolar RNA snoR122". Lineage: Eukaryota; Viridiplantae; Streptophyta; Magnoliopsida; Poales; Bromeliaceae. The record is from Rfam by way of RNAcentral.